This 64-nucleotide microRNA precursor is filed under the name Tursiops truncatus (common bottlenose dolphin). RNAcentral describes it as "miRNA (ENSTTRG00000025208.1)". Lineage: Eukaryota; Metazoa; Chordata; Mammalia; Artiodactyla; Delphinidae. The record is from RNAcentral.
GCCAAAAAGUUAGUUCGGUUUUUUCCAUAUAAUGUUAUGGAAAAACCCGAACCAACAUUUUGGC